UGCCGGCGAGUGGUAACUGGUGCGUAAGUGCGGAACUGCCCAUGUCGUGGGGGAUAUCGUASCGAACGCUACGCUAAUACCGCAUACGUCCUGAGGGAGAAAGCGGGGGAUCUUCGGACCUCGCGCGAUUGGAGCGGCCGAUGUCGGAUUAGCUAGUAGGUGGGGUAAAGGCCCACCUAGGCGACGAUCCGUAGCGGGUCUGAGAGGAUGAUCCGCCACACUGGGACUGAGACACGGCCCAGACUCCUACGGGAGGCAGCAGUGGGGAAUUUUGGACAAUGGGCGCAAGCCUGAUCCAGCCAUGCCGCGUGAGUGAAGAAGGCCUUCGGGUUGUAAAGCUCUUUCGGCCGGGAAGAAAUCGCACGCUCUAACAUAGCGUGUGGAUGACGGUACCGGACUAAGAAGCACCGGCUAACUACUUGCCAGCAGCCGCGGUAAUACRUAGGGGUGCGAGCGUUAAUCGGAAUUACUGGGCGUAAAGCGUGCGCAGGCGGUUUUGUAAGACAGAUGUGAAAUCCCCGGGCUUWAACCUGGGAYCUGCSUUUGUGAYUGCARGGYUAGAAUACGGCAGAGGGGGGKGGAAUUCCUGGUGUASCRUGAAUUGCCUWWAWUWUCAGGAGGAACACCKAUGGCGRAGGCGCCCCC
RNAcentral lists this ribosomal RNA (645 nucleotides) under bacterium MDS6(F). Its description in RNAcentral is "partial 16S ribosomal RNA". It matches the Rfam family "Bacterial small subunit ribosomal RNA", at positions 86 to 728 of the family's 1533-position model. The record is from RNAcentral.